RNAcentral lists this ribosomal RNA (468 nucleotides) under uncultured bacterium. RNAcentral describes it as "partial 16S ribosomal RNA". It matches the Rfam family "Bacterial small subunit ribosomal RNA", at positions 28 to 506 of the family's 1533-position model. The record is from RNAcentral.
GAUGAACGCUGGCGGCGUGCUUAACACAUGCAAGUCGAACGGUGAACCCGGAGCUUGCUCUGUGGGAUCAGUGGCGAACGGGUGAGUAACACGUGAGCAACCUGCCCCUGACUCUGGGAUAAGCUCUGGAAACGGCGUCUAAUACUGGAUAUGUGACGUGACCGCAUGGUCUGCGUUUGGAAGGAUUUUUCGGUUGGGGAUGGGCUCGCGGCCUAUCGGCUUGUUGGUGAGGUAAUGGCUCACCAAGGCGUCGACGGGUAGCCGGCCGGGGAGGGUGACCGGCCACAUGGGGACGGAGAAACGGCCCAGACUCCUACGGGAGGAAGCAGGGGGGAAUAUGGCACAAGGGGCGAAAGCCUGAUGCAGCAACGCCGCGGGAGGGAUGACGGCCUUCGGGUUGUAAACCUCUUUUAGCAGGGAAGAAGCGAAAGGGACGGUACCUGUAGAAAAAGCGCCGGCUAACUACGU